This is a non-coding RNA of Ictidomys tridecemlineatus (thirteen-lined ground squirrel), 69 nucleotides long. NCBI's taxonomy places the organism in Eukaryota, Metazoa, Chordata, Mammalia, Rodentia, Sciuridae. The record is from Rfam.
GGGGUUGUAGCUCAGUGGUAGAGCACUUGCCUCACAUUUGUGAGGUACUGGGUUCGAUUCCCAGCACCA